RNAcentral lists this non-coding RNA (81 nucleotides) under Singulisphaera acidiphila. RNAcentral describes it as "Fluoride sequence". It matches the Rfam family "Fluoride riboswitch aptamer (crcB RNA motif)". Lineage: Bacteria; Pseudomonadati; Planctomycetota; Planctomycetia; Isosphaerales; Isosphaeraceae. RNAcentral also lists the same sequence under 1 other name. The record is from RNAcentral.
CUGAAUAAUGGCGAUGGGGUUCGCCAAUCAAUAACCGCCGCAGCCUCGUGGAAGGUUGCGGCUGAUGACCCCUACCUUUGG